Molecule: small nucleolar RNA, 88 nt
Organism: Cryptomeria japonica (Japanese cedar)
Lineage: Eukaryota; Viridiplantae; Streptophyta; Pinopsida; Cupressales; Cupressaceae
Source: RefSeq, a predicted model, not a curated record
UGGCAAUGAUUAGAACUUAUCCGCGCUUCUGAUGCUUUUUGCAGAUGAAGUAAAAGGAUUAAAUGGUUGAAUUUCUUGAUAUGAGCCA